RNAcentral lists this ribosomal RNA (464 nucleotides) under Vreelandella stevensii. Its description in RNAcentral is "partial 16S ribosomal RNA". It matches the Rfam family "Bacterial small subunit ribosomal RNA", at positions 338 to 795 of the family's 1533-position model. The record is from RNAcentral. Lineage: Bacteria; Pseudomonadati; Pseudomonadota; Gammaproteobacteria; Oceanospirillales; Halomonadaceae.
CCUACGGUGGCAGCAGUGGGGAAUAUUGGACAAUGGGCGAAAGCCUGAUCCAGCCAUGCCGCGUGUGUGAAGAAGGCCUUCGGGUUGUAAAGCACUUUCAGUGGGGAAGAAAGCCUUGGGGCUAAUACCCUCGAGGAAGGACAUCACCCACAGAAGAAGCACCGGCUAACUCCGUGCCAGCAGCCGCGGUAAUACGGAGGGUGCGAGCGUUAAUCGGAAUUACUGGGCGUAAAGCGCGCGUAGGCGGUCUGAUAAGCCGGUUGUGAAAGCCCCGGGCUCAACCUGGGAACGGCAUCCGGAACUGUCAGGCUAGAGUGCAGGAGAGGAAGGUAGAAUUCCCGGUGUAGCGGUGAAAUGCGUAGAGAUCGGGAGGAAUACCAGUGGCGAAGGCGGCCUUCUGGACUGACACUGACGCUGAGGUGCGAAAGCGUGGGUAGCAAACAGGAUUAGAUACCCUAGUAGUC